GACGAACGCUGGCGGCGUGCCUAAUACAUGCAAGUAGAACGCUGAAGAGAGGAGCUUGCUCUUCUUGGAUGAGUUGCGAACGGGUGAGUAACGCGUAGGUAACCUGCCUGGUAGCGGGGGAUAACUAUUGGAAACGAUAGCUAAUACCGCAUGAUAUUAAUUGUCGCAUGAUAAUUAAUUGAAAGAUGCAAUUGCAUCACUACCAGAUGGACCUGCGUUGUAUUAGCUAGUUGGUGAGGUAACGGCUCACCAAGGCGACGAUACAUAGCCGACCUGAGAGGGUGAUCGGCCACACUGGGACUGGGACACGGCCCAGACUCCUACGGGAGGCAGCAGUAGGGACAUCUUCGGCAAUGGGGGGAACCCUGACCGAGCAACGCCGCGUGAGUGAAGAAGGUUUUCGGAUCGUAAAGCUCUGUUGUAAGAGAAGAACGGGU
RNAcentral lists this ribosomal RNA (437 nucleotides) under Streptococcus sanguinis. Its description in RNAcentral is "bacterial SSU rRNA". It matches the Rfam family "Bacterial small subunit ribosomal RNA", at positions 28 to 454 of the family's 1533-position model. The record is from RNAcentral. Lineage: Bacteria; Bacillati; Bacillota; Bacilli; Lactobacillales; Streptococcaceae.